Molecule: long non-coding RNA, 1017 nt
Filed under: Lactuca sativa (garden lettuce)
Lineage: Eukaryota; Viridiplantae; Streptophyta; Magnoliopsida; Asterales; Asteraceae
Description: long non-coding RNA (LSAT_LNC009756)
Source: RNAcentral
AACUUCUAAAAUUCUUCACAAAUUAGUCUGGGACUUAUAUUUAUUAUUUUAAAUAAACGGGGCGUUACAUGAACGACUGUGGCCCGUUUGAAUAAUUCGAUUAUUCUUAAUAAACUCAAUUAUUCUGGAAGUCAAAACAUGCAAAUGUGAAACACAAGAAUAAUACUAAUCCCAUAUGGCCUCAAACCUUUGAGUAUAAAUAAAACGCCUUUUAUUUAUCACCAUAUUGAUUACUCAUUAUUUGUCGUUUCGGGUAAUCAACUUCUUACUUGAAUUAUAACACUUGUCCCAUGCUCCUAGCAUGCACACAAUGUUUACCUAUGGUUCUUACUUUGUGAAAUAGAUCACAUUGAACACAUUUCCAAUCAUUCUCAUUUCACAACUCCAAAUCCUUUUUCAUAAGUGAAAGAAUAUCAAAUUCUUGCUACUUAUAGAAUAUGCUAGAUUCUAACAUUCUAUGCAACUAUCCUUUCGUAAUGUCACUGCACCAAAGCCACAAACACUGUUGCCAAUGAUAUUACAAAGUCCUCUAUCGGAGAUUGUUACAAGACAAUUCCUUAGAUAUGAUGUCUCUCACUCAAAGUACAUUCCUUUGAACAUCCUUUUGCAUAAAAGUUUCUAAUCUAGACAUAAAUUUUUAAUAUUCAAUUCCCCAUAUGGACACGUUUCCAUAUUUUCCAUAUGACAACUCAUUCUUAAUAGAAUCUUUUCUAUUCAUAAUAAUGUCGAUAUUGUCCAUCCAAUAUGGAAACAUUUCCAUAUUUUCCAAUACUAUACUUCCAACUACUCACAAGCGACCAAUCCUCGUCGAACUUUGGAUUGUCCUUUGAUAGUUGUUUAAUUAUUUUAGUCAAAACCAAUUCUUGUCCUUUUUCCCUCUAAAUGCGCUCGACAUUUGGAAAAUUUUAGAAUGAUCAAACAUUAAAGCAUUUGCAAUCGAUCCUAUACCCGAAGCGUAUGGGACACGACGCAUAAUGUUUUAUUUGCUAUGUUCUCAAAAUUCGAAUUGUGAAGAGG